RNAcentral lists this ribosomal RNA (139 nucleotides) under uncultured eukaryote. RNAcentral's name for it is "partial 18S ribosomal RNA". It matches the Rfam family "Eukaryotic small subunit ribosomal RNA", at positions 1299 to 1458 of the family's 1831-position model. The record is from RNAcentral.
UGGUGGAGUGAUUUGUCUGGUUAAUUCCGUUAACGAACGAGACCUCGACCUACUAAAUAGUUUGGCGUAGACUCAUCUAUGCACAAGCUUCUUAGAGGGACUGUCGGUUUGUAGCCGAAGGAAGUUCGAGGCAAUAACA